This 524-nucleotide ribosomal RNA is filed under the name uncultured Glomeromycotina. Its description in RNAcentral is "SSU rRNA". It matches the Rfam family "Eukaryotic small subunit ribosomal RNA", at positions 569 to 1092 of the family's 1831-position model. Lineage: Eukaryota; Fungi; Glomeromycota. The record is from RNAcentral.
AGCAGCCGCGGUAAUUCCAGCUCCAAUAGCGUAUAUUAAAGUUGUUGCAGUUAAAAAGCUCGUAGUUGAAUUUCGGGAUCUGUCCGUUGGUCGGGCCUCACGGUCCGCACUGAUGUGAUGGAUUCCUACCUUCUGAAUAACCGGUAUGCCAUUAAUUUGAUGUGCCGGGGAAGCAGAACCAUUACCUUGAAAAAAUUAGAGUGCUCAAAGCAGGCUUGCGCCUGAAUACAUUAGCAUGGAAUAAUAAAAUAGGACGGCAUGGUUCUAUUUUGUUGGUUUCUAGGAUCACCGUAAUGAUUAAUAGGGAUAGUUGGGGGCAUUAGUAUUCAAUUGUCAGAGGUGAAAUUCUUGGAUUUAUUGAAGACUAACUUCUGCGAAAGCAUUUGCCAAGGAUGUUUUCAUUAAUCAAGAACGAAAGUUAGGGGAUCGAAGACGAUCAGAUACCGUCGUAGUCUUAACCAUAAACUAUGCCGACUAGGGAUCGGACGAUGUUAAUUUUAUAAUGACUCGUUCGGCGCCUUACG